GGAUCCCAGACCCUGGGCCGCGGGCAUGGGGAAACAGCGGGCCUGGAGGAGACUGGCCAGGGAGGGAGGAAGGAAGGAGCCAGGACCCCAAGGCUCCCUGCGCUUUGUUUGGAGAGAACGCCGACAGAUUAAAUUUUCAUGUAAAAGAUACCCUCCCUACAACAAAAGGAUUAACAUCCUUAUCCUCAAGGACCAGAAGUCAAGACUGAAAGAAUUCUGUGCAGCCUUGUUAAAAUAAUUUCUUUUAAGCCUCACCCACGCCCAGCUGGACCUCAAAAGAAUUGAGAUGGAGUUUUGCUGCCCUUACAGUGUCAAAGACUGUCCUCCAUCAGACACAGGUCAUCUCACAAUGCCUGGAGAUGUCAACUGGGGAUCUCUGGUUAGACAAUUUAAAAAAAGUGUGAUCACCAUUCCACAGCUGACCUGAUUAGCUCCACUGGGGCAAGUUAUGUGGCAUUUCUCAUUUUACCUGGCUAAGACUUAUUUUAAUUCUGGAUUUAUUAAAAGGAAUUUCAUUCACAUAAUUCAUAUAUAUAUUAAAAUAAAAACAAACUCAAAAUAACUGGCCCAUGGCUCGGGGCCCAUAGCACAGUGGUUAUGGCACCAGCCACAUGCCCCGAGGCUGGCGGGUUGGAGCUUGGCCCAGGCCAGCUAAACAACAAUGACAACUGCAACAAAAAAAUAGCCAGGUGUUGUGGCGGGCACCUGUAGUCUCAGCUACUUGGGAGGCUGAGGCAAGAGAAUUGCUUAAGCCCAAGAGUUUGACGUUGCUGUGAGGUGUGACACCACAGUAUUCUACCAAGGGUAGACUCUGUCUCCAAAAAAAUAAAAAAUGGCACAUGUUGUGUGAUUACUCAGCUAAUACAUUUACUCAUAAAAUUAGGCCUGACAUGGUAGCUCAUGCCCAUAAUCCCAGUACUUUAUAAGAUCCAGGUGGGAAGAUCACAAGAGUUCAAGAUCAGCCUGGGCAACACAGUGAAACCUGGUCUUUACAAGAAAUUAAAAAAUUAACUCAGCGUGGUGGUGCAUAGCUGAGUUAGCUUCUCAGGAGGCUAAGGCAGUAAGAUUAUUUGAGCCCAGGAGUUUGAGGUUGCAGUGAGCUAUGAUGAUGCCACUGUACUCUAGUCUGGACAACAGAGUGAAACCCCAUCUCAAAAAAAAAAAUAAAAUAAGAGAUGACCUCCCCACCCCUUUCUUAAUAAGUAACCUGCUUCAGCUAAACAUCAAUUUGAAAGUGUAAAACAUUUCAAAAAACUGUGUGCAUGUUUCUCCUAAAAGGAAAGAACAGUUGUAGGAAAAGGAAUUUUUCAAAAUAACAUUUGAAGUCUGUGAACCACUGAACUCAUUGUGGUCUUGCUGUUGAUCUGUAAAGUGGAAGUUACUACUUCACGUUGUUGCAAACCUCAAACAGACAAUGUAUGUAUAAAAUGUAAGAUGUCUAGGUAGUGAAGAGGUGCAUUAUUUGAAUAUUGAAGAUUUUUUUUUUUAGACAGUCUCUGUCGCCCUAAGUAGAGGGCCAUGGUGUCAUUGUAGCUCACAGCAACCUCAAACCCUGGGCUCAAGAGAUCCUCCUGCUUCAGCCUACUGUAGUAGCUAAAAGUACAGGCGUGUACCACCACACCUGGCUCAUUUUUCUAUUUUUAGUAGAGAUGGGGGUCUCACUCAUGCUAAGGCUGGUAUUGAACUCCUGAACUCAAACAAUCCACCCACCUCGGCCUCCUAGAGUGGUAGGAUUACAGGAUGAGCCACUGUGCCUGGCCUGACUAUUUUUAAUAUUCUACCUGACUAGUUUUCUUUUUGAGUCCAUUUUAUUUCCAUAUUUAAAACA
Nycticebus coucang (slow loris) is the source of this 1828-nucleotide long non-coding RNA. RefSeq lists it as uncharacterized. The record is from RefSeq and is a predicted model, not a curated record. Lineage: Eukaryota; Metazoa; Chordata; Mammalia; Primates; Lorisidae. The transcript has 3 exons.